Mandrillus leucophaeus (drill) is the source of this 94-nucleotide small nuclear RNA. The record is from Ensembl. NCBI's taxonomy places the organism in Eukaryota, Metazoa, Chordata, Mammalia, Primates, Cercopithecidae.
GCGCUCGCUUCAGCAGCACACAUACCAAAAUCAGAAUGACACAGAGAAGAUUAGCAAGGAUGACUCACACAUUGGUGAACCAUUCUAUAAAACA